This 5748-nucleotide long non-coding RNA is filed under the name Citrus x clementina. RNAcentral's name for it is "Citrus clementina (C. clementina) long non-coding RNA (CCLE_LNC001631)". Lineage: Eukaryota; Viridiplantae; Streptophyta; Magnoliopsida; Sapindales; Rutaceae. The record is from RNAcentral.
GGAAAGUAGGCUCUAAUUUUGCAUUCACCUAUCUACAUGAAUGAAAUAGGUCAAGGUCUGUUUUUCCCAUUUAGAUUUUUAGAUUUCUAAUUUGUUGAUGUCAAAGUUGAAGAGAGUUACAUCUUCAAAUGAGGCUCAAUGUAUCUAAUUAAUUAAAAAUUGUUACAGGCUUUGUUUGUGUUUAAUGUAGGUAAAUAUUACUUUGUUAUGCUGCUAAGUCAUGACUGCUACCAUUUUUCCUUUUCUUGAUUCCAGUUUAUGUUUGGUGCAAUUGCUUAAUGUAGGUAAGGUAGUCGUGACUACUACUUUUCUUUAUUCCAACUUAUUUCAGUUUAUGUUUACUCGUUCUGUAAAGGUAAAGGUAUAGGUAUGGUGAUUUCCUAAGAUUAGUAACACAUACCUGUGAUCCAUGGGUGCAUUGAUUCAUGUUUAAUUGAUACAGUGAUUUUGAUAUAUGGAUGUUGUGUAAUAAUUUUUAAUCAGGACAUUCUUAUUUUAGCAAAGUGAGAAAAUAAUUAAUAGUUAAAAAAACAUAAAUUUUAAUACAUCAACAUACUAAAAAAAAAAAAUCUUCAAUGCAUUGAAAUUUGUGUUUGUUUGUAUUCCAGUGGCAUUCUCAUUUUGUUAAAGUGAAGAUUCCCUCAUUAAAGAGUGGCUUUGAUAUUGCAUAAAUUAACAAGUGUACCAAUGAGCACAAGUGUUAAAAUAAUGAGUUAAGUAUCAUCUCACAAAAAUUGCUUAUCUUAUUAGUUAUUGAAAUUAUUAUGACUCAAAUUUAUUUGAAUAAUCAAUUUAAAAAAUUGAAAUAAAAAAUUAAAAAAUAUAUAUAACAACUAAAAAUUAAAUGAAGAUGCAAACAAUAAUAAAAUUCUCCAAAAGAUUAUGAUAGUAGGACAUUCGACUUUACCAUAACCAAUCCAAUUUUUAUCCUCUGUUUAUGUUAUUAAAUGCCCUCACAUAUUAACCCACUAAAUCUAUAUGUAAAUUUAAAAAUGUCUCUAUGGAAAUUCUUAAAUAAAAUUGCACGAAUCGAGUUAGUAUAUCUCUGUCUCCCAUGUAAUUCAUAGAAUCCAUUACACGGAGUAAAAAUACAUAAUUCACCUUUGGUCUUAUUAUGCAAUAUGUACCCUCAAAUUAUUCAAAUAUUGGCUAGAUAUUUAAAAAUAUUAAGCACAAAUCAUGGAAUAAUGAACUAACAAAAUGAUAAAUUUAGGAAAUUAAGUCAUGAGAAUAUAAAGAGAAUCUAUAAAUAUAGUUGGUAACAUUCAGGCUAAAAGAAAAAAAAAAAAAAGACACUCGGUUGUGCCUUCAAUCAGUUUUUCUUACUCUCGAAUUCUCUUGUGUGGGUGGUCUAAUUCUCUUCAAUUAUGUGUGCAGCUAACUUCUUCAAUCUUUGUAGCCUUUUAAAAUGCUUAGCCCCUGCUUCUUCUUGUCCUAAUUGGAUUCAAAUCGCAAGCCAUGCACACAUCGACUUUUAGCUUAAGCAAUUCACACGCAUGCUUGCUACUUUUAUCUUUAACUUAAUAAUUCAGUUCUCCACUUCUUUGUCUUCACAAGCUAGCCACUAAUUUUAACUUAUUCCCUUUUAAUUUUUCAUAUAUUCCUUUCCCUCUCCAAUUCCUUCAAGUAUAUUAUUCCCGAAUGCUUCGAUGUAAUUCCUCAUUUUAGCUUUUUUACUAGAAUGUACCCUAUUUAUGCCUACAUUAACAAAAUAAUAAAAAUUAGAUAAAUACUUUUGUAUUAACUAGAUUCUGUGGUAAUUUGCAAAUCUAGCUAAACACAAUAAAUUUAUAAGCAACAAAAUUUAGUGCCUAGCGUAAUCGAGGUGCAUUGUUGUUUGGACCUUGUAUGAAGCUUAAUGAAGAACAAUUGUAUGGGUUUGUUGGAGAGAGUAUAGGUCUAGAGAGAGGAAAUUUUGGAAGCUUAUUUUUCCUACAAAAAUAGAGAAAAUAGGUUAGAGGUGGAGCCAGCAACAACUAGCAACCACACUCUGACACUCAAGUUAGUUUUAGGCUAAUUUUGAGUGUCAAGAGUUUACCAACCCUCAACAAUGGAGUGAGCACAAGGUUGAAGACGAAUCUUGACCUCUUUUAUUUUUGUGUGUUUGCUGCCUAGUUAGAAAGAUGUAGAGCUUGAUUUGUAUUAACCCUUAAGAGAAAAAAAACCUCUGCCUAGGAUCUUAAUCCAAGAUCAGCACAAGUUGAUUCGAAAAUUAAUCUAAUUAUACCAAGAUCAAACUAAACUAAUUUGAACAAUCAAGAACUCAAUUAGAAUUAAAAUGAAAAUAGAAUACAAAUAAAAAACACAACAAGAACACAAGAUUAUGUGGUUCAACCUUUUUCAAGAUCUACAUCCACGGGUAAAACGUCAAAGCUAGCUUUAUUGAUUGAUUCAAAGAGAUUACAAGAACUUAAGUAAAGAUUAUAGAGCUUAAAAACAAGCCUUUUCUCUCUCAAGUCUCUCACUAGAAUCCUCCAGAAUUGUCACUAAAUAAGCUUGAUAACAUAGUUUUAUAUAACAAUAGCUCAAUAAGACCUCACUAAGGGUGUGUUUGGAAGUAAGGUUUGGUAGCUAUAGCUUAAAAGUCACAACACUAAAGUGUUUGGUAAACACUAAUUGCUAUAACUUGAAAGUUAUAUUAAUAUGAUUUUUCACUUGUAUAAUAAAAAAUCUUUUAGAUCUUUAAUAAUUUUAUCAAAAUUAUUAUUUAAAAUUUAUAUUCACUAUAAAUUAUUAAUUUUUUUCAUAAUUACAACUUUUUUUUUUCACAGUAACCGUAACUUAAAAACUACAGUACCUCAAUUCCAAACAGACCCUUAAGCUAUUAUGUGCCAAGUCACAUGAUAAGCAAGAAUAUGUUAUAACCAAAAUGGCUGGAUCAAUUGUCGUUUUGAGUUUAAGUAAUCAUGCUUACAUCACGUGGCUUCCGUAGGCACGGUAGUUUAUUGUUGACCUCAAGAGUACUCGGUGUAAGUCAACCUCAUUUUGACAACUCUCUUAUUUCUAACCUUCAUCAACACGUGGCAUUCUCCUAUUGCCCUCUCAUUUUCCCCAAACAACUUAUAAGACAAAAAUAAAUAAGCAUAAAUAAAGUGACAAGCAUUAAAACAAUGUAUACGAGUUGUAAGCAUAUGAUAUUAGCGAAUGAUGCUAACGUGGCUGGAUUUUGUUGCUUGUUCUCAUACCCCGAAUUGUCUAAAGUAUUUAGUGUUUACUUAGAAAUCUGGAGUACUUGAUAGUAUUCGCCUGCAUUAUUGAGGAAAUAUGAUGUGAUUUAGUCUUAAGAUUGAAUCCCUAUCACCAAUCUCAUUGGAAAGUAAAUAAUUUUUCUUCUAUUUUAUAUUUUUGUUGGUUUGAGUGAUUCUAAGUAAAAGUUUAGUGAUUGCACUGCUCGCAUUCUUAUUUCUUAUUAUGGGCAUUGUUUCUCCUUUUCAGAUUUGGUGCCAUUUUAAAUAUUUUCCAGCUCCUGCUUGAGUAUUGCGGAGAGUGUUUGUUGAAUAUUAAGGUUAUUCUUUGUGCACAUUAGUAAAGUUUCUAGAAAUGAGUUUCAAAUCACCUGUAUGGAACAGGUACUCCACCUUUACGUUCCUAUUAAUUGUUCAAGUGUUCUUUUCUUCAUGGUAUUUACAAUUUUUUGGGAAUAUUUAAAACCUAAAAAUUUCCUUUACUAAAAAUUAAGUUAUCAUUUACUGGCAGGCAACUUAGAGGUUAAAAUCAUAUCGUCAAGAGUGUGGUAGUUAAUUGUUUUCUUCAAUCUUGAUUGAUAAUAAUUGUUUUGUUGCUUUUGCUUUUAAGAUUUUAUUUUGAUCAUGUCCAAUACUUAUAGCCCAUUUGAGAGUGUGGUGAGGUAGCUGAGCUGCCAAAGCCCAACUACUAAAGUGUUUGGUAACACUUGUAGCUAGGCUUUGGCAGCUUAGCAAAUUUUUUUCCCAACUUCUACUCCACAACUGUACCUUUUACUCCAUAGUAGCUGCACCUUAAAAGCUACAACACCUUACUCGCAAACACACCCUUAAUUACUUAAAAAAAGCCGAAUGGUUUCUUGAUAUGAGUUGUCUACCUAGCUGUCUAAGAUACUGCUAUAGAAAGCCGUUCAUUUUAAUUAGGUAAUCUUCAUAAUUUGUGGAGAAUAAUGCUUUUUUUUUUUUAAGUUUGCAAUUUGUUUUUGAUAGUUUAUUUUAUCUUUUGAUUUUUUUUCCCAUGGAUUUUGCUCUACACACACACACACACACACACAUACAUACAUACAUACAUACAAGGAAUAACAAAAUUCUACUAGUAUAAGGAUUAAUCAAUAUUUUUUUAACCCUAUUCUAAAAGGUACUUACUAUAUACAUUGGAGAAAGCUAUUAAGCCAUAUGGCUUAAUAGCGUUUUGUCAUUAUACUAUUAAACUGGCUUAAUAGCUUUUCCAUACUUUAAUAAAGUCAUUAGUACUCUAUGUGUGUGUGUGUGUGUAAAGCCCAGGAAAGCUAUUAAGUCGUAUGAUUUAAUUGUAAUAGUUGGAGCCCAACGAUCCAAUAUCUAUUGUCUACUUUAGGCACACUACGAUUUUGUAUUAGGUUUGGCAAUCACAAUGCAUCUACUUAGUUAGGAGAGCCCAAGGCAUAUAAGAUAGUCCAAGAAUUCACUCACCAGCUUAUAAGUUAGUCCAAAAAUUCACUCAUUAUUGAUGAGGGAUAUUAAAUCAACAGUGUAAUGACAUUAUAAUAGUUUUUCCAAACUAUAAUGAAGUCUCGGAUUGUGGACUAAAUCAAUAUUACAUAUCCAAUAAAGCAAUUAAGUCAUUGGACUAUCAAAUCAUAUGAUUUUGAUAGCUUUCUUGAUCAUUACACUAUUAAAAAAUAUGGCCUAAUAGCUUUCUUGAACUUUAACAAAUCUAGGAUUCUAAAUUAGAGCUAUAUAUAUAUAUAUAUAUAUAUAUAUAUAUAUAUAUAGAGAGAGAGAGAGAGAGAGAGAGAGAGAGAGAGAGAGAGAGAAUCAUUCUCUAAUGAGGAUAUCCUUAAAGAAAUUUGAUAUAUUAGAGAUUGUGUUUUUUGUCUGUUAGCGUAUUAAAAUAUAUGUUUUUAUUAAUUAAUGGUAUCCGUACUUUGUUGUGUGUGUAUAGUUUAUUCUUAACUUUAAUAUGGUUAGAGAUUCCUGAUUGAGACAUUUCUUUCUCUAAAUGAGUUUUCAAUUAGAGAUUUUUAACCAUAUUAAAGUUAUGAAUAAAUUAAAAAAAAACACAAAUUUCAAUAGACUAAAGGAUUAAAUGUUCUACAUUGAAAUUUGUGUUUUCUUUAUCUUUUAGUUUACUGAUAAUUUUAAUAUGACUCUUUAUAUGUAUGUAUGUAUGUAUAUAUAUAGACAAUCAAUCAGGUUCCAAUGAGGGUUCCUGCACUUUGCUCAUGAAGUGUAGGAACAUUAUUAACUUAUAUGGUGUGAGCCAGUGCUUAUGGAUGGAAAAGCUAGGUUGUUUCUUCUAUUAACUUGUCGUUUUUCUUCGUGAUCCUCUUGUUGAGAUGCUAAAAAAUGUGGUGGAGGUUGCAGCACCAAGUCAAACCCCAUUCACUACAAUCUGUGCCUGCCAUUGCCAAAGCUUCUAUUGAAACCGGCAUGAUUUUGUUUAAUCAAGCAAUGAUACUCAAAUUAGCUGUACAAACAUAAUUGAUUCUUAGAGAAUUUCUGUCACUCUCGAUGUAGAUAAUUAGAUAAAUAGCACCCAGAAUAAUAUGAUUUUUAGAGUAUUAUCAAAAGAUUUUACUCUAUA